GACGAACGCUGGCGGCACGCUUAACGCAUGCAAGUCGAACGAGAGAAGAGAAGCUUGCUUUUCUGAUCUAGUGGCGGACGGGUGAGUAACACGUGAGCAAUCUGCCUUUCAGAGGGGGAUACCGAUUGGAAACGAUCGUUAAUACCGCAUAACAUAAUUGAACCGCAUGAUUUGAUUAUCAAAGAUUUAUGGCUGAAAGAUGAGCUCGCGUCUGAUUAGCUAGUUGGUAAGGUAACGGCUUACCAAGGCGACGAUCAGUAGCCGGACUGAGAGGUUGAUCGGCCACAUUGGGACUGAGACACGGCCCAGACUCCUACGGGAGGCAGCAGUGGGGAAUAUUGCACAAUGGAGGAAACUCUGAUGCAGCGAUGCCGCGUGAGGGAAGAAGGUUUUAGGAUUGUAAACCUCUGUCUUCAGGGACGAAAAAAGACGGUACCUGAGGAGGAAGCUCCGGCUAACUACGUG
This 465-nucleotide ribosomal RNA is filed under the name uncultured bacterium. RNAcentral's name for it is "partial 16S ribosomal RNA". It matches the Rfam family "Bacterial small subunit ribosomal RNA", at positions 28 to 507 of the family's 1533-position model. The record is from RNAcentral.